UUGCAUGGCUGGGCCCCAUAACCUGUCGGAGAGUCGCAAUGAUGGGCAACGGAGAUUACUGAGCGAGCUUACAUGUUUGUGUUUGAAUCUUUGCUAAGAUUAUACCUUCUCUGCAAAUUAGUCAAAGACUUUAAGCUUUAAAAUAAGAAAUAACUACUUUAUUCUGGAAGUAUAUACUUGAUAGGAAAGAGUUCUAUAUCUAGCUAAGUAGCUAGGUUGGAGCAGCUGGCACUGGUCCCAGUGCUAGCCCUCAUGGUGGUUGAGAGGGAGAGACAAAGAGAAGAUGUCUGCUCCCCUCUCGAGAGAGAAGAAGAACUGGGAAGGCCGGAAGGGACUGGGAUCAACAUCCUUUGCACAUCAGUCUAGCAGGAAGGGAGAGACAGCAGGAGAUCAAAGGACAGCAAGAGAAAUCCAAAAGAGGAAGAUCCCACAUGUAUCAGAAUUAAGCACAACAUUAGGGAAAGGAAUCUCAGACUCAAAUGCAUUACACGCAAAAGAUUUGGACACAAAAGCAGCAAAGGAUCCUGUAAGCAAAUCCAAAUCUAAGAAAUGGGAAAAUGCAAGUGUGACCCAUGGUAAGAAGCAAGGAAAGUGCAUUCAGAUGGUGUACAGACAAAGACAUGAGGCACCAGAACAUGCCCACUAUCCUGUUGAUAAUAUGUGGAAUCUUAGGAGCACAUGCAGAGUGGAAGGCAGGUAUCCUGGAGAAUACUGGCAUCGAGCCCAUCCCUGCAAAUGCUUGGAUCUGUUAUCAGGACCCAGAGGUGGAGAUGGCCUGUCGAUUUCCAGGGUUACUGAGUAAUGCUUCCAGGAGACAACAUCUGGAAAAAGAUAUCCUCCAUCAGCUACCUGUCUCACAGAGUGCAGCUUGUGAGGAGUCACGAUUAAUUAAAUGCACCAAGGGUCCCCAGAAGCAGCAAGUUCAUUUUUGCCAUGAUUCUUCUGUGGACACCAAGAUUUCUUGCACCCCAUGAUUUGGUGAAAUGUCCCAAGGCAGCGACAUGAUAUAUGAAGAAGUUUGCAACAUUUUAUGGAUUUCUAUGGUCACUUGGGGGGAGGGAUCACCUUUGCACUUCCAGGUUUUUGUGGCAAGUGCCAAGAAAAGAGGACCUGCUGAUGAACUGGCUCUUGUCCUGAUUUCAUCAAAAGGGCAAGAAUAUCCCAGAACUAUAACGAACUGGAAGAGGUACAAUGGACUUAUGGACGUGACCAAAAUACACACUGUCGGUCCUCCAGACUGAAUAAUGCCUAUCCAGGAAAUGUACUGCCAUUAUGGACAAUAUCAUAUUCCUUUUAAGUCAAUAGGUUAUGUUUCUAUUAUUGAGAAAUAUAGCACACCAAGGUUUUAUAGGUUGGAAGUAGGUUUGUCAUUUAAGAAAAUCAUAACACUGAAUCCCCUUAUUAAAAAAAUAAAUGAAUUAAGCCUUUUGAGAAGCCCUCUUGUCGGAUCUCAUGUGAUUAAAUUGAACCACCCCCAGCAAUUAUUGAUAAAACCAGCGACUGCACUUAAGGAAGUGGUAGUCUCAUUUGAGAAAUUAAAUAUUGCAAAGGAAUUCCCUGUUUGUGCAUCCUAUUUAGAGAUGAGUAAUAGAGGAUGGGAUAAUUGGGUUAAAUUAUGGGAGGGGGAGAAUGGGAAGAGAAAUAAGCGGAAUUUGUCAGGGUGGCUGGGUACUGGAGCUGCUUUUCUGGAUGGUACCAAUAUUGAAAUAUUAGCCAACAAAUUACAUUAUACCACUGAAGAAAUAAGUAAGAUGACAGAACCUAUCAAUAGGGCUCUGGAAAAGACUAGUGAAACCCCCCAAAUCAUAGCCAGUUUACUUCCAAUGUGGGAACAGAGAAUGGAAAAAGAUUAUCAUGACAUAGGAAAUACCAUGCAGUCCUUACGACAGAAUAUUUCCUUGGCCAUUACAUGCACCCAUAUGUAGAACUGGGCCCAUACAGUGGCUUUGGAACUUAUUCACAUGACAGAUAGUGGGUUUAUACCCAGGGAAAUUAGGUUCCUAGUUUGACAUCAAGUGUCCAAGGGAGAAAAAAAAUUGGAAGACUGGUGGAGCCUUGUCAAUGCCACAUAUGAUAAGCAAAAUCAUGCAUUAAGAUUGUCUAUUGUAAUGGUAGAAGCAUCUGAAAUCAUUACUGUAUAUCCUGUAAUUCCAUUGUGAAUCACUGUAGAUCAAGAUUUAGUUCUUUAUGCCCAGGAAGUUCAUCAGUGGGCCAUAAUUAAUCAUGCAAGAUGGGUAACCAUUAAUGUGAAAGGUUGUCAACAUCAUAAGAAGUUAGGAUUUGUUUGUGAAGAUGAUAGUUUGGAAUCCCAUCAAGAUUGCUUUUCUCUCAGAAUGAUUAGUGUAUUGUAUUGCUCUUUCAUGCUAAGAAAUGAAUCAAGUUCAACCAUUGUAUAUUCUGGACAUGGGUGUGUGUGCCUUAGAACAUUUUGUGAUUAUGCUGUUAUUGAUAAGUAUUAUAUACAAACUAUGCUAAGAUAUAUCAAUAGAUGCUUUUGUGGUAUUGAGGAAAUAGUAGGAUGUGAUUUUUCAUUUAAAGUCCCUGUAUGGACCAUCCAGAGAAUAUUAGUUAAUCCAGAUUUGUUUCAAUACCUCAAACCCAUUGCAUUAGGGUAUGGCCUAGCUGAUCUCCAGAAGUUACUUUCUCAUCCUAUGUUACAGAAAUAAUUAGAAGCAGUUAAACAAAUGGGAGAGCAACCUACACUCCAGAUAAAACACGAGUGCCAUACAAUUACCAAUAUAGCAGCCAAGAUCAAACAGAUAGGGGCACAUAAAUGGUGGGAUUCCCUGUUUGGCUGGGGAGAAGGCGCCAAAGGAGGCCUAAACAUUUAAUGCACCCCAUUGUGGUGAUUCUAAUAUGGCAAGUUUUUUUGGUCUUCGUCUUAAUAGCCCUUGUAAUAUGGAUCCGAUCUCAAAUGGCACAGAUACCCCAGAGGGAAUGUCACCCCCCACUGCUGCUUGUGCCCCCCGCUGUCCCCACAGCAUGUUCUGCUGCCCCCGCCACCCCACCUCUUGUUCCACCACCACCCCACCACCACCCUGCCUCUCAUUCCCCCGCCGCUGCUGCAGUUCCUGCAGCCCCCCACCCCAUCUCUCGUUACCCCUGCUGCCGCUGCACCUCCUGCCACCCCCACCUACCUCUCAUU
Molecule: long non-coding RNA, 3145 nt
Organism: Rhineura floridana
Lineage: Eukaryota; Metazoa; Chordata; Lepidosauria; Squamata; Rhineuridae
Exons: 3
Source: RefSeq, a predicted model, not a curated record